This 765-nucleotide long non-coding RNA is filed under the name Homo sapiens (human). RNAcentral describes it as "HSALNT0087075". Lineage: Eukaryota; Metazoa; Chordata; Mammalia; Primates; Hominidae. The record is from RNAcentral.
GUAACCAUGAACUCUCCCUCUAGGGUCUCAUUAGCAAGGCCAACUGUGCUGCAGUGGAGGAAAACAGUAUCACAUACUUGAUGGAGAUUGUAGCCAUUCAAGGCAAACCCUAGAUUUGUCUUUUACUGGAAGGAGCAUGAAUUGGAUGGAAAGGAAACUUCAAAAAGGAGUUAGAAGAAAACCACUGCCUGAGUGGCCCCUUUACCAAAAGUGUCUUUGUUCAUUUGGAAAUAGUAUUCACGAGCUUUUGAAAGUUUACUGUGGUCAAAUGUUGCAUGUGGAGCAUGGACCAUGAUGGAUCUGAAGACUUAUUCUUUGGUUACUCCACAUUCUGACCAUAUGGUGGUGGGAAGUCAUUCUUUGCUUCAGCUUUCCCAUAGGUGGAAUAGGGAUGAGAGUGUUGGACUCCGGGAGUGAGUGUACCUGGCCAGGGUAUUAUCUGGGAUCUUCCAAUGAUCUCCCUAAGAUCCUCCUUUACACAAGGGCACUGAUUUGCAGACAUAUUUUCUACGAGGACGAGAAGACAAAAAGUGUUGUAAUGUAAGCUUCAAAAGGAGCACAAGAGUCCCGGCCCUUUGUGUCACACUGCCACGAACUCUACUGCGUUCUACUAAUUGACUUCUGCCUAAAGAUUGAUUGGUCCUAAUGCUUCAUGGGUGAACCUGCAAAUGAAUGUCCUGAUGAUAAGAACUGAACUCAAGGCAAGAAGUGAAAAAUUCCAACUAUUUCCCUAGAAGAAUGGAAGAGUAAUUUUGGAUUAGAUAG